CUCACAGUUGCCAACCCUGGUGAUGCAGAAGCCCUGGGAGGACUUAACCAGGGAGUGAGUGAACAGCAGCGUUCCAGACAGAAGCUGCCUCGGUGGCCUGGGUCCUGGAGUGACAAUGACGUGGAGCAAAUCCACAGCCACGACAAGACGAACACGAAGCAUGAGCACGAGUGAGCGUCUGUUUUGGACACGGCGCCCGCGGAGGAAGGACUGUGUCGUCAUCGAUCAGAGCUUCCUGCACUCAGCCUGCAGCGCGCCUCCUGACGCAGCCUGGCCCCUUCCCAUCUACGCUCCUCCUCGACGGGGCCUUCGUUCCUGGAAAUUAGUUCAGUAGAUGUACCUGCGUGUAUGUGUGUGCGUACAUGUAUAUGAAUAAAGCCU
Balaenoptera musculus (blue whale) is the source of this 381-nucleotide long non-coding RNA. RefSeq lists it as uncharacterized. NCBI's taxonomy places the organism in Eukaryota, Metazoa, Chordata, Mammalia, Artiodactyla, Balaenopteridae. The record is from RefSeq and is a predicted model, not a curated record. The transcript is spliced from 3 exons.